GACAGAGGUCCCAAGCGUUAGGCGGAAUCACUGGGCUUAAAGCGUGUGUAGGCGGAUCUGUAAGUACCUUGUGAAAUCCCACGGCUCAACCGUGGAACUGCUGGGUAUACUGCGGAUCUUGAGCCACCUAGGGGCGAGCGGAACAAGUGGUGGAGCGGUGAAAUGCGUAGAUAUCACUUGGAACGCCAAUGGUGAAAACAGCUCGCUGGGGGUGUGCUGACGCUGAGACACGAAAGCCAGGGGAGCAAACGGG
This 253-nucleotide ribosomal RNA is filed under the name uncultured bacterium. RNAcentral describes it as "partial 16S ribosomal RNA". It matches the Rfam family "Bacterial small subunit ribosomal RNA", at positions 524 to 776 of the family's 1533-position model. The record is from RNAcentral.